RNAcentral lists this ribosomal RNA (497 nucleotides) under uncultured bacterium. Its description in RNAcentral is "partial 16S ribosomal RNA". It matches the Rfam family "Bacterial small subunit ribosomal RNA", at positions 28 to 507 of the family's 1533-position model. The record is from RNAcentral.
GAUGAACGCUGGCGGCGUGCCUAAUACAUGCAAGUCGAGCGAACAGAUAAGGAGCUUGCUCCUUUGACGUUAGCGGCGGACGGGUGAGUAACACGUGGGUAACCUCCCUAUACGACUGGAAUAACUCCGGGAAACCGGGGCUAAUGCCGGAUAACAUUUAGAACCGCAUGGUUCUAAAGUGAAUGAUGGUUUUGCUAUCCCUUAUAGAUGGACCCUCGCCGUAUUAGCUCGUUGGUAAGGUAACGGCUUACCAAGGCAACGAUACGUAGCCGACCUGGGAGGGUGAUCGGCCACACUGGAACUGAGACACGGUCCAGACUCCUACGGGAGGCAGCAGAAGGGAAUCUUCCGCAAUGGGCGAAAGCCUGACGGAGCAACUCCGCGUGAGUGAUGAAGGUCUUCGGAUCGGAAAACUCUGUUAUUAGUGAAGAACAAAUGUGUAAGUAACUGUGCACGUCUUGACGGUACCUAAUCAGAAAGCCACGGCUAACUACGUG